CACGUAGGUGGCCAGGCAAUUCGGUCGUGGAAUACCGACGCUCACCGUCGGUGCGCCGGCCGAAAAUACCUGGCUUGAGGGCGUGAGGGGUCGCUGGAACUCCUGGUGGAGCGGUGAAAUGCGUAGAUAUCAGGAGGAACGCCGGAGGCUAACGCGAGCGACUGGUGCGUCCCUGACACUGAGGUGCGAAAGCCGGGGGGAGCAAACAGGAUUAGAUACCCUGGUAGUCCCGGCUGUAAACGAUGGACACUAAGUGAGGGAGGGCUCGCCUUUCUUUGCUGCAGCUAACGCGUUAAGUGUCCCGCCUGGGGAGUACGGCCGCAAGGUUAAA
Molecule: ribosomal RNA, 331 nt
Filed under: uncultured bacterium
Lineage: Bacteria
Description: bacterial SSU rRNA
Rfam family: Bacterial small subunit ribosomal RNA
Source: RNAcentral